CCUACGGGUGGCAGCAGUGAGGAAUAUUGGUCAAUGGACGAGAGUCUGAACCAGCCAAGUAGCGUGAAGGAUGACUGCCCUAUGGGUUGUAAACUUCUUUUAUAUGGGAAUAAAAUGUUCCACGUGUGGGAUUUUGUAUGUACCAUAUGAAUAAGGAUCGGCUAACUCCGUGCCAGCAGCCGCGGUAAUACGGAGGAUCCGAGCGUUAUCCGGAUUUAUUGGGUUUAAAGGGAGCGUAGGUGGAUUGUUAAGUCAGUUGUGAAAGUUUGCGGCUCAACCGUAAAAUUGCAGUUGAAACUGGCAGUCUUGAGUACAGUAGAGGUGGGCGGAAUGCGUGGUGUAGCGGUGAAAUGCUUAGAUAUCACGAAGAACUCCGAUUGCGAAGGCAGUUCACUGGACUGCAACUGACACUGAGGCUCGAAAGUGUGGGUAUCAAACAGGAUUAGAUACCCUUGCAGUC
RNAcentral lists this ribosomal RNA (460 nucleotides) under uncultured bacterium. RNAcentral's name for it is "partial 16S ribosomal RNA". It matches the Rfam family "Bacterial small subunit ribosomal RNA", at positions 338 to 795 of the family's 1533-position model. The record is from RNAcentral.